UCCAGACUCCUACGGGAGGCAGCAGUGGGGAAUAUUGCACAAUGGGGGAAACCCUGAUGCAGCGACGCCGCGUGGGUGAAGGAGUAUUUCGGUAUGUAAAGCCCUAUCGGCAGGGAAGAAAUUGGACGGUACCUGACUAAGAAGCCCCGGCUAACUACGUGCCAGCAGCCGCGGUAAUACGUAGGGGGCAAGCGUUAUCCGGAUUCACUGGGUGUAAAGGGAGCGUAGACGGCCAGGCAAGCCUGGAGUGAAAGCCCGGGGCCCAACCCCGGGACUGCUCUGGGAACUGUCCGGCUGGAGUGCGGGAGGGGCAGGCGGAAUUCCUGGUGUAGCGGUGAAAUGCGUAGAUAUCAGGAGGAACACCGGCGGCGAAGGCGGCCUGCUGGACCGCGACUGACGUUGAGGCUCGAAAGCGUGGGGAGCGAACAGGAUUAGAUACCCCCGUA
Molecule: ribosomal RNA, 446 nt
Filed under: uncultured bacterium
Lineage: Bacteria
Description: partial 16S ribosomal RNA
Rfam family: Bacterial small subunit ribosomal RNA
Source: RNAcentral